GUGCUUGCUUUGGUGGCACAUAUGCUAAAAUUGGAACGAUACAGAGAAGAUUAUUAGCAUGGCCCCUGUGCAAGGAUGACACUCAAUUCUCAACUUGUCUCUGUCCUUU
Choloepus hoffmanni (Hoffmann's two-fingered sloth) is the source of this 109-nucleotide small nuclear RNA. The record is from Ensembl. NCBI's taxonomy places the organism in Eukaryota, Metazoa, Chordata, Mammalia, Pilosa, Megalonychidae.